GAUGAACGCUGGCGGCGUGCCUAAUACAUGCAAGUCGAGCGAACAGACGAGGAGCUUGCUCCUCUGACGUUAGCGGCGGACGGGUGAGUAACACGUGGAUAACCUACCUAUAAGACUGGGAUAACUUCGGGAAACCGGAGCUAAUACCGGAUAAUAUAUUGAACCGCAUGGUUCAAUAGUGAAAGACGGUUUUGCUGUCACUUAUAGAUGGAUCCGCGCCGCAUUAGCUAGUUGGUAAGGUAACGGCUUACCAAGGCAACGAUGCGUAGCCGACCUGAGAGGGUGAUCGGCCACACUGGAUCUGAGGCACGGUCCAGACUCCUACGGGAGGCAGCAGUAGGGAAUCUUCCGCGAUGGGCGAAAGCCUGACGGAGCAACGCCGCGUGAGUGAUGAAGGUCUUCGGAUCGUAGAACUCUGUUAUUAGGGAAGAACAAAUGUGUAAGUAACUGUGCACGUCUUGACGGUACCUAAUCAGAAAGCCACGGCUAACUACGUG
RNAcentral lists this ribosomal RNA (497 nucleotides) under uncultured bacterium. RNAcentral's name for it is "partial 16S ribosomal RNA". It matches the Rfam family "Bacterial small subunit ribosomal RNA", at positions 28 to 507 of the family's 1533-position model. The record is from RNAcentral.